This 497-nucleotide ribosomal RNA is filed under the name uncultured bacterium. RNAcentral's name for it is "partial 16S ribosomal RNA". It matches the Rfam family "Bacterial small subunit ribosomal RNA", at positions 28 to 523 of the family's 1533-position model. The record is from RNAcentral.
GAUGAACGCUGGCGGCGUGCUUAACACAUGCAAGUCGAACGAAGCAUUUAGAACGGAUUACUUCGGUUUGAAGUUCUUUAUGACUGAGUGGCGGACGGGUGAGUAACGCGUGGGUAACCUGCUUUGUACUGGGGGAUAGCAGCUGGAAAGGGCGGGUAAUACCGCCUAAGCGCACAAUGUUGCAGGACAUGGUGUGAAAAACUCCGGUGGUAUAAGAUGGGCCCGCGUCUGAUUAGCUAGUUGGUGAGAUAACAGCCCACCAAGGCGACGAUUAGUAGCCGACCUGAGAGGGUGACCGGCCACAUUGGGACUGAGACACGGCCCAGACUCCUACGGGAGGCAGCAGUGGGGAAUAUUGCACAAUGGAGGAAACUCUGAUGCAGCGACGCCGCGUGAGUGAAGAAGUAAUUCGUUAUGUAAAGCUCUAUCAGCAGGGAAGAUAGUGACGGUACCUGACUAAGAAGCUCCGGCUAAAUACGUGCCAGCAGCCGCCGUAA